RNAcentral lists this ribosomal RNA (498 nucleotides) under uncultured bacterium. Its description in RNAcentral is "partial 16S ribosomal RNA". It matches the Rfam family "Bacterial small subunit ribosomal RNA", at positions 30 to 523 of the family's 1533-position model. The record is from RNAcentral.
AUUGAACGCUGGCGGCAUGCUUUACACAUGCAAGUCGAACGGUAACAGGCCGCAAGGUGCUGACGAGUGGCGAACGGGUGAGUAAUGCAUCGGAACGUGCCCAGUCGUGGGGGAUAACUAUCCGAAAGGAUAGCUAAUACAGCAUACGAUCUGCGGAUGAAAGCGGGGGACCUUCGGGCCUCGCGCGAUUGGAGCGGCCGAUGUCAGAUUAGGUAGUUGGUGUGGUAAAGGCUCACCAAGCCAACGAUCUGUAGCUGGUCUGAGAGGACGACCAGCCACACUGGGACUGAGACACGGCCCAGACUCCUACGGGAGGCAGCAGUGGGGAAUUUUGGACAAUGGGCGCAAGCCUGAUCCAGCAAUGCCGCGUGCAGGAAGAAGGCCUUCGGGUUGUAAACUGCUUUUGUACGGAACGAAACGGCUCUGGUUAAUACCUGGGGCUAAUGACGGUACCGUAAGAAUAAGCACCGGCUAACUACGUGCCAGCAGCCGCCGUAA